RNAcentral lists this ribosomal RNA (253 nucleotides) under uncultured bacterium. RNAcentral's name for it is "partial 16S ribosomal RNA". It matches the Rfam family "Bacterial small subunit ribosomal RNA", at positions 524 to 776 of the family's 1533-position model. The record is from RNAcentral.
GACAGAGGGUGCAAACGUUGUUCGGAAUUACUGGGCGUAAAGGGUGCGUAGGCGGUCGGGUAAGUCUGAUGUGAAAUCUCACAGCUUAACUGUGAAACUGCAUUGGAUACUAUUCGGCUUGAGAGUUGGAGGGGGGACUGGAAUUCUUGGUGUAGCAGUGAAAUGCGUAGAUAUCAAGAGGAACACCAGUGGCGAAGGCGAGUCCCUGGACAACUUCUGACGCUGAGGCACGAAAGCUAGGGUAGCAAACGGG